CCCGCCAUAGCUCAAUCUGGCAGAGCGUCUGGCUGUAGACCAGAAUGUUGUGUGUUCAAACCCCAUAUGGGGGCU
RNAcentral lists this transfer RNA (75 nucleotides) under Candidatus Micrarchaeota archaeon CG1_02_47_40. RNAcentral's name for it is "tRNA-Tyr". It matches the Rfam family "tRNA". From Rfam's summary of the family: Transfer RNA (tRNA) molecules are approximately 80 nucleotides in length. Their secondary structure includes four short double-helical elements and three loops (D, anti-codon, and T loops). Lineage: Archaea; Nanobdellati; Microcaldota. The record is from RNAcentral. RNAcentral also lists the same sequence under 1 other name.